GAAGUCUGGAGAUGAAGGGUCUGAAGA
Molecule: non-coding RNA, 27 nt
Filed under: Cricetulus griseus (Chinese hamster)
Lineage: Eukaryota; Metazoa; Chordata; Mammalia; Rodentia; Cricetidae
Source: RNAcentral